GGUGCAAAUGAUGGUCAAUGCGAUCAAAGUAUGAAAAAGCGUGAUUCCAACUUUAUAAACCACUGAUGCACC
Scomber japonicus (chub mackerel) is the source of this 72-nucleotide small nucleolar RNA. The record is from RefSeq and is a predicted model, not a curated record. NCBI's taxonomy places the organism in Eukaryota, Metazoa, Chordata, Actinopteri, Scombriformes, Scombridae.